ACUACCUACAGGCUAACUAGGGCUGGAGGAUCUCCUUCCAAGCUUUGCUCUGCCAUGAUGCCUCUGGAUUGGAGCCAGCUGAUCACAGACUGAAGCCAUGAACAAAUUAAACGUUUUCUCCUUUAAGUUGUGAGCAUCUCAUAUUGUGUCCAACAAUGGGAAAGCUGACUAAUACAGGGAUCGAGCAGCAGGCGGCAAAACCACUGAGCUAAAUCCCUGGGCCAAGUCUCUGUUUUUCUUAAUCAUCUGCCUAGAUGUACUCAGAGGUCUACAAAACUCGCCCACCAAUCCAUUUGUUCAUUGAAUCUGAAAACGACUCUGUGAGUCUCAUUUUCCAGAUGAGGGAAGGUGAGGCUGAAACCAAGAUGACAGGAGAAGGUGACUGGAGUGGGGAUCAGAGAAGAAGGAAGAUGGAAUAAACAGGAAAGGGCUCCUGCAUAAACUGCCAAGAUCAUCAGAUGUGCUACACCACGAAAGUUACGUUGACUCAACUCCACGCAUCUGAAGGUCCUCGGAAACAUCUCCCCUGACCCCCAGUGCAGCCCUGGAAGGAGGGCAAAGGCUCUUCUGCAAACACGGGAGUCUGGCAGCUUCUUGUUAAGGAGAUUCAUCCUGGUCACAUGCAUAGAAACAGCAGUCAUUGGAGACAGCAUUCUCUGGUCCAUCACCAGCCAGCAGCAGCCUGGGGCACUAAGCCAGCCAUAGGGACUGGCGUGGAGGUACUCAGUGCUAGCUGUCCUGGGAAGAGCUUACUGCGUGCUGAGCCCUUGUCUGUAUGAAGUUGUUUCAACCUCGCAGUUCUGUUGAGGGUCGAGCCCAGGCUGGCCUUUCACUUGCAGUCCUCCUUUCUCAACUCCACAGUGCUGAGGCCAAGACACGCACCACCACGCCCAUCUCUUGAACAUCUCCGGGACAUUUAUACCCGUGCUGUGACAUUGGUACAUUCACACUGUUGAGCAACCCUCCCUCCCUAUCAUCCCGCUCCAGAAAAGUAGAAACUCUGUAUCCACUGGACAAUAAAUCACCUUUCUUCCUCCCAGCCCCAGCAAACCGGC
This 1055-nucleotide long non-coding RNA is filed under the name Heterocephalus glaber (naked mole-rat). RNAcentral's name for it is "lncRNA (ENSHGLG00000047878.1)". The record is from RNAcentral. Lineage: Eukaryota; Metazoa; Chordata; Mammalia; Rodentia; Bathyergidae.